AUCAUUGAAGAGCUCUUGGACGAACUUCAUGGCGCCAAAUGGUUCUCCAAACUGGACCUCCGUGCGGGCUACCACCAAAUCCGCCUGGCACCUGGGGAGGAGUACAAGACCGCGUUCCAAACACAUCAAGGACACUUCGAGUUCACAGUUGUGUCAUUCGGGCUUGCAGGUGCACCAGCCACUUUCUUGGGAGCUGUUACCACAACACUCAAGCCAGUUAACCGUGUCUGUGUCGUGUCCUUCCUCGAUGACAUCUUGGUUUUCAGCUUCUCACUAGAAGAACAUGCGGAACAUCUGCGUCAGGUGCUAGCGCUGCUGAGAAAGGAUUGCUGGAAGGCUAAAAUGAGCAAGUGUGUUUUCGGCCAGCAG
This 369-nucleotide ribosomal RNA is filed under the name Triticum aestivum (bread wheat). RNAcentral describes it as "partial small subunit ribosomal RNA". The record is from RNAcentral. Lineage: Eukaryota; Viridiplantae; Streptophyta; Magnoliopsida; Poales; Poaceae.